Non-coding RNA from Zootermopsis nevadensis, 406 nucleotides. The record is from RefSeq and is a predicted model, not a curated record. NCBI's taxonomy places the organism in Eukaryota, Metazoa, Arthropoda, Insecta, Blattodea, Termopsidae.
UACCAUAAUAUUUUUUUUCAGAAUGUCCACAACAGGAGAAACAAUACUGAAGACAAUGACCGAUUACUGGGUCGUGGGCAAAGUGUCAAAUCUUCGAGAAUUCUACGUUGUCAUCCAUCAAAAAAAUGCCAACCUCAUAGAAAUAAAUGAUGAAGUGAAGAGGCUAAGUGACAGUCAACUUAAGAGCAUAUUUUUCCAUGAUUGAAGUGGAGUGAAGUUAGUGGAAUAUGAAUUUGAAAUUUGUUAUAAGGAGGCACUUUUAAAUUGUGUCAGUUCCCAUGUACUAUCAGUGAAAUCAUCCAUUCCAAUUGAUCUAUCACAGUUCUGUAAUUAUCGUGCAUACAUCCAUUUUAAUAUGUAAAUAUGUUGUGUUAUUUAAAAAUAAAUAUUUUACAGACUGCAUCAA